AGAGUUUGAUCAUGGCUCAGGAUGAACGCUAGCGGCAGGCCUAACACAUGCAAGUCGAGGGGUAGAGUUCUUCGGGACUUGAGACCGGCGCACGGGUGCGUAACGCGUAUGCAAUCUACCUUAUACAGGGGAAUAGCCCAGAGAAAUUUGGAUUAAUGCCCCAUAGUGUUAUCGAAUCGCAUGGUUUGAUAACUAAAGUUCCAACGGUAUAAGAUGAGCAUGCGUCCCAUUAGUUAGUUGGUAAGGUAACGGCUUACCAAGACAAUGAUGGGUAGGGGUCCUGAGAGGGAGAUCCCCCACACUGGUACUGAGACACGGACCAGACUCCUACGGGAGGCAGCAGUGAGGAAUAUUGGUCAAUGGGCGCAAGCCUGAACCAGCCAUGCCGCGUGCAGGAAGAAGCAUCUAUGGUGUGUAAACUGCUUUUAUACAGGAAGAAACAACUCUACGUGUAGAGUCUUGACGGUACUGUAGGAAUAAGGAUCGGCUAACUCCGUGCCAGCAGCCGCGGUAAUACGGAGGAUCCAAGCGUUAUCCGGAAUCAUUGGGUUUAAAGGGUCCGUAGGCGGCCUUAUAAGUCAGUGGUGAAAUCUCCUAGCUCAACUAGGAAACUGCCAUUGAUACUGUAAGGCUUGAAUUUUUGUGAAGUAACUAGAAUAUGUAGUGUAGCGGUGAAAUGCUUAGAUAUUACAUGGAAUACCAAUUGCGAAAGGCAGGUUACUAACAAACGAUUGACGUUGAUGGACGAAAGCGUGGGGAGCGAACAGGAUUAGAUACCCUGGUAGUCCACGCCGUAAACGAUGGAUACUAGCUGUUCGGAGCAAUCUGAGUGGCUAAGCGAAAGUGAUAAGUAUCCCACCUGGGGAGUACGCACGCAAGUGUGAAACUCAAAGGAAUUGACGGGGGCCCGCACAAGCGGUGGAGCAUGUGGUUUAAUUCGAUGAUACGCGAGGAACCUUACCAGGGCUUGACAUAUACAGGAAUAUGGCAGAGAUGUCAUAGCCGCAAGGUCUGUAUACAGGUGGUGCAUGGUUGUCGUCAGCUCGUGUCGUGAGAUGUUGGGUUAAGUCCCGCAACGAGCGCAACCCUCGUUCUGUGUUGCCAGCAUUUAGUUGGGGACUCACAGGAGACUGCCGGGGUUAACUCGGAGGAAGGUGGGGAUGACGUCAAAUCAUCAUGCCCCUUAUGUCUUGGGCUGCACGCAUGCUACAAUGGCUGGUACAAACGGCUGCGAUACCGCAAGGUGGAGCGAAUCCGAUAAAGCCAGUCUCAGUUCGGAUUGGGGUCUGCAACUCGACCCCAUGAAGUCGGAGUUGCUAGUAAUCGUAGAUCAGCAACGCUACGGUGAAUACGUUCCCGGGGCUUGUACACACCGCCCGUCACAUCACGAAAGUCGGUAACACCCAAAGUCAGUGGCCCAACCGCAAGGAGGGAGCUGCCAAAGGUGGGAUCGGUGAUUGGGAUGAAGUCGUAACAAGGUA
This 1481-nucleotide ribosomal RNA is filed under the name uncultured Flavobacterium sp. RNAcentral's name for it is "partial 16S ribosomal RNA". It matches the Rfam family "Bacterial small subunit ribosomal RNA". Lineage: Bacteria; Pseudomonadati; Bacteroidota; Flavobacteriia; Flavobacteriales; Flavobacteriaceae. The record is from RNAcentral.